AGCCAUACGAGCUACGCUCCCCCAGCUGAACUGUAUCUGCGUUUUAACAGUGGGAGAAAAGACAUUAUAUGGCAUCGCGCUCCUCCCGCAACCCUGCCAGCCUCAUCUGUCAGCCAUUACUUAAUCAUGGCCGAUAACACAGAGCACAGAGAGCUGGCACAGCGCGUGGGACCAGAAGACAGUUUCACCUCUGAGAGCAAGAGGAGGGCAAGGACUCAGGGACCUCUGAUUCAGUGAUCUACAGCUGGGUUGCUUCACUCACCAGCACCCACUCAGGACUGGCAGGCAGAAACCUCGAGAUGAUCCAACCCACUGCUUUAAUCUAAACAGGGAGGUUUCAGAGACAGAAGCCAAAACAACACAUGUUAUCAACAUGGGAACAGCUGUUUUUGACAGACGUUUUGACGCAAGAUCCACAUUGAACUUCCAAAUGGCUAAAACUAAGCACAUUCUGACCUAAACGUCUCUCCAACACUGUACCUCAUUUUAGCCAAGUCCAAGGAUGGUAUCAAUUCUUAGCAAAGGAAAAUUUUUUACAUACAAUAGGAAUCAAGACAGAAAGUAAAUAACAACAAUAAAGGAGAACAGAUAAUAGUCAGGUCUCAGAGUUCCUCCAUCAAUCCAAAUGCAUCAUGCAGGGGUCAUGUGGUGAGGUGGAAUUAACAUCCUUUAUAACUUAAAAAAGAAACAGAACUACCAGGUGGUGAUACAGCACUUACAGUAGAGUCUGAUCAAAAACAUAUUUAGGUUUUUAUUUUAGCUAACAAAACAAAGCGCUAUUCGCUCUCUGUUACUGAAACUGAGCUAGAACACAGUAUCAAUCAUUAUCGCACCCACAAGAGGGGAAACAGCUCCAUUUCACUUCAUCACUUGAUAGCAUCGACAUGCCCAAACAUGAACAGGCCCCAUUAAGUCUGUGGUGGUAGCCUCAUGUGAGAGGACUUUUCAUGUAAGUGGAGUCUAUGAAGUAACUCCUGUGGGUUUAAAAACACUUCACAAUGCUUCGCUUAAAGGAAUGAGAAAAAGCAGAUGUUUUGUACCUGUGUGAAAACACGAUCAUGUCUCUGCCAUUCAGCCAGCCCGGAGAAGACCAAAUUAAACGCUUCCAGAGACCUUCAAUCCCUGUCUCCUCUCUGUUCAUCUCACUGCAUCAGCUCCCAAGCUGGAUCACCCACAACAGCUACGCUCACUAAAUGGACUCUUUAUUUUCUUUCAGUAGCUUUCACACACUCACUGUGCUUCAGCAGGAGCAGGAACGGCAUUAAUAGACUUCUCCUAACUACUCAUUAAACUAAACUAGAUCAUGACGAUACUUGUGCAGCAACCUGCAAAGAUAUCUUCUGACAUCAUCUCACAGCAUCAGUGCCACCUAAAUCUUAGCGGUUUGCCAAAAUGUGUAAGGCCAGUGAUUGAUCCUUUAUGUUAAAGUCUUUUCUCAGAUACCAAUUUAGCACACACAGCAAUGAUUGUUCUAGUGAGAAGCACCAGGAAGCCGCUGCUCCAAUAACCUAAACUCAACUAGCACACGGGCAGCAUAAGGAAUCACAAGGCUGAUGAUGUCACAAACAACUGCCCCCAAAGUGACAGGUUUUGCAAGAUGUUUCCCCCUGUUGCCCUCAAACUGGAGUCAAGUAUGUCAAUGCUCUACAUGUGGAUUUCAUUUGAAGCAGCAUGAUUAGCGUGCAGACGCUUUACUGUGAUCCCCCCUCCAUGGGAAACCCACACUCGACGGGAAAUGGUAUGUUUUUGUUAACAACAAACAGGCAUAAAUCACAUAAGUGGUGCAACACAGCCGUAUCACUGGUCCUUACACCCAGCUGACAUCAAGAUUGCUUUUAAGGUAAUUACCAUUAGCUAAUGAUAUUUAUGUUCCUAAAAGUUUAUGUUGAACUGUGUGCCUGAAAUCCGGAACCUGUACAAUAAAUGUGGUAAUUGUUUUGUGUCUUUUUCUCUUUUUAAAAUACUCUCUGAUGGCGUGUAUUGGGAAAAUGAAUAUGACAGUAACUGAUCAGUCAGACCUUUCUGGUUACUUACAACAGAUUAAUUUAUCAAGAUGUGUUUUUUAAUAUGUAGAAGGUGCCAAAAAGGAAAACAAAAAUAAAAUCAAGGGCACAACAAGCAAGAUUAGUGUCUGAGAUUAAGUCUCAAUCUGAAAAGGUGAGUUUUGAAAAGUCAGUUUAAGGGUGUAAACAUUUUAUAAAUCGAGAGGCAGAGAGCUCAUUUAUGAAUAUUUCCAAGAUGGUAGUAUGUAGUCAGGUUUAUUUCCAGGAUUGUUUUCUGGUUUAAAUAUAUUGAGAGGGCUUGAUUAAAAUGGAUGGCAUUUAAGGGUGUCUCCGCAAGAUUACAAGGAUUUUAAUAAUAGUCUCUUAUGAAAUGUUUUGACAGAAAAAAAGUGAGAUACGCUUGAAUAUAUUUGAUUUAUGACGUAACAUAUAACAACUAACAUAUACACUACUGCUCCAAACUGAUAUGUAUAAAACUGAUGGUUUAAAAUUAUAAAAAAAAGAUUUGGUAUAUACUACAAAGGUAAGAUGCUUUUACAUAAGGUAAGAUAAAUCCAAAGCCAUGAGCAAUAUUGGAAAUGUUAAUUAAAACAACUGCCUGCCCCCCACCUCCCCACCACACUGCUUGAUCUCUAUCUGGCCUCUAAGCAUCUCCUAUUUCACCUGAACAAAAAAGGUUUGUUUGUAUGAACAAUAAGUACGUUUUGAGUCUCUCAAAUCAUUGUGAAUUCAUAAAUUAUAUAACAGUUUAUGCAUUACAGAAGAUGAAUAGAUAAUUGUAAUUUUGAAUAGAAAAAGACUCAAUGAUUAUUGUGUUGUGUACAUUGAUGCUUUGUAGGUCAAUAGUUAAAAUAAUCAUUUACUUUUAAAGAAAGAAGUAAAGGAGUAAUUCUGGCAUAUUGUGGGUUAUUUGAAGCCUUUGUUGAAAUACUAAUUUAAAUAUAGAGUUUGACAAUACUUCAAAGAUUAUAAUUGCCUGCAUUUUGCAAAUAGUGUUUGGGUGUUUUUUCAGAAUUUCUACUCCUUUCUCCAAAAACUAAACAAGACUUGCCAGAAAAAAUUAAUACCAAUUAUUGUUGCGGUUUAAAAAAAAGAAAAAAGAUAACAUUACACUGUCUCCAGCCAAAUGCAUUACAGAGAGCACUAUUAAUACAAUGGUAAACAGAUGUGCCACCCAGCGCUAAGGUUUAAUUUGGACUCUGCAUGUUUUUCUCCAAAGAGAUUAGAGAAGAAAAUGUUAAAACACAUAAAAGGGAAAGGGCCUGGAGUGUUAUUACACUGUAAUGUGCCAAGGUAUGUGAAACACUAUAGAUACUAUAGAAGCAAAGUUUAAGUUUUCCCCCCAAAGAUUAAAUUAUUUAAAGGAUUACUGAAAAACAAAACAGUAAAGUCAAAUUGAGGGUCAAAUACCAAAAUACCCCUAAUGGCCCACAGAUCACAUCUUUUCUAUGGGGUGCUGUACGUUAACUUUGUACAUAAACUGUAUGUGUAUUGCAUGUACACAGUAUGUAGAGCAUAUAAAUGUACUGUAUAUAAAAAGUCAGUGCACAUGAAAACAAACUCUUUUUAAAGUCAGUUGCUAUUUACCUUACCCCUUGCAAAGCAACGUGUUUUUUUCUGUAUUGCUGUUCCUUGUGCAACAUUUUUGGCUUUAUGACAUUCACUAAAGUCCAGUGUUGUUUUUUGUUGUUGUUUGUUUGUCAAUAAAAUA
Molecule: long non-coding RNA, 3714 nt
Organism: Pelmatolapia mariae (spotted tilapia)
Lineage: Eukaryota; Metazoa; Chordata; Actinopteri; Cichliformes; Cichlidae
Exons: 5
Source: RefSeq, a predicted model, not a curated record